AGCGCGCGUGCUGUUGCUGCUGCUGAGAGAGAGCACAUGGAGGAGAGAGCACGAGCACUUAGCAGCAUUGCUAAUGUAGCCUGAGUCGCAAAAAUAUUCAGAGAUGAGGAACGUUUAUAUGUGACAUUCAUAUGGACUGAUUUGUUUGAGGCGUCUAACACGGUCUAAAGGAAGAUGCUCAGGAUGUAAGCAGCUUCGCAAAUAAGAGACCUCUUCAGCAUCUGGGGGCUUGUUGUUUGAGUCUGAGAAAGCACCCUGGUAUCAGUCGCUUACCCUGCCAUUGAAGAAUACGGUGAAAAGGUUGUGAUAAGACCCUACUGUGGGACGGCCUGACCUUCAGAGGAUUGGACUGAACUUGGACAGCAGUGAGGCAGGGAACAUGAGGCACUUACCUGGGUACGUUGCCCUGCCAAACAUCAGGAGUCAUACCGGCAUUGGUGACAUCAAACUAUGAUGUCACUCAGACUGUUUCAUUGGACAGAAGCAUGUGCAACCUGAUCCUAAAGGGUGAUUGUAUUGAAUGUAGUUGUUUUAUUAAAAAGGUGUGUUUUAACUGAGCCUGCCAAUUUAUUGUUUAAUUUCAUAGUAAUUGGAGAACGAAAAUAUUUAUUAAACAAACAAGCAGUGUUAACUUUAACUUUAAGUUAAGCUUAAUGUCUAUUGAUCCAUCCCACAUUAAAAUAUUAUGCAACAAAAAAAUGAAGUAACAUAAAAUAAGGGUGUAAGUAAAUAUUGUUACAUGCAAGCAUUGUGAUAUUUUGUUUGGCAGUACUGCAUCGGUACUCUAUUUAUUUUUUUGCAUAAAAAUCUUUUUAUGGUAGUUGUUUCCUUUUUCAUCCUGACCACUAGAUAGCAUUUGUCUUAUCUCGAACCCUAAACAGUGACAGAAAGAACUAGCAUAGGGGUGCACCACAAAUGUUUUUGCUAUGGUUUGCAUUUGGUGGUGUGUUCUCAAUGACAGCUUUCCUAAAAUUAUAUCCUAUAAUACUCCUAAAAUAGAAAAUAUCCCAAAAUAUUGCCCAGCUUUACAGCAGCGCAACAUAUCGCAUUGCAAUCCUAAUAUAAAAGUAUGACUCCAUACUUCAUAAUGCUGUUUAACACCAAUCUCUGUCUCUCCAUACUGUACACCAAGUUUCUUGGCUUAAUAAAGGUUGAAGACCCCUGGCACAAGCGCAAUAUGUUAAAACCCAGAGUGACCCAAUAAACUAUAAUACCUAACAUGCAUCUUAAUCUGCAUCAGAUUUCAAAUAUAUUUACAGUGUAUUGUGAUGAUGCCUUUACUGUAUGUUGUAAUUGUAAUGAGAUGGUUUGAUUUAAUCCAGAGCUAUCUGUUCAUCUAUAGAGCAGCGGAUUGUUUGGAGCCCAGGUUAAUGGGAUUGCUUCAGAUCUGCUGUUAGGGAUUAAGACACCUCCCCUUUAGAUUAAUGCCCAUGCCAGGAAUGAUGGGAGUGCGGGAUUCUUCCAGUAGUAAUAGCGGGAGGGGGCGUGGUCAGCGGAUGACACGCCCACUCUGGCUAGACUGUUUUGUCUGUGGAUUCUCAUAAUCCUCUUUCUCUUACCAUGACCAUGUGAUCACCUCUAACAAAAUCCAUGAAUUUUAGGCACCAGACCUGUUGAGGGUAUUAUGUGAUGCAAACUGAAAAAUCCAGAUGCAAGGACACAAGUCUUAGUUUGUGCAUUUGGUAGUACACCCAAGAGAUCACAAGCUUGGCAAAUUUGUUGUUAACAAUAGCUCAGUGGUCAAGGAAUGUGUUUGCGAUUCAGUUCGACUGCAAAACAUCUCGAUCGGAUAUUUUCCAUCCUACACUCAAAAUGCUUCCUCUUUGCAGUGGAGAGGUUGUGUAUCCGUUAUCCCAGACUGUCAGCGCUUACAAACUAGACCAGAUUCCUUUGUAAAGUGGUCUCUCGUCUCUAUCACGGGACAUUGUUACUGGGUGGUCCUGUCACAGAAGUGUAGUGCAUAACUUGCCAGCUUUUCCUCAGGUACUUUUCAGCAUUACACACAGUAGCACAAGUUAUUUGCACUUGAAAGGGAGCCUCAUAUCUGUUUUAAUAUAACAUUUGCAAUAUGCCGCUCUCAACAUUUUCAUUCAUUCAAAAGCGACUUACAGUGCAUUCAAGUUAUACAUUUAAUCAGAAUUGUGUGAUCCUGCACAUUAACUGCAGAUUUAGUCAGUUUUUCAACGACAGAAAAAUGCUAUUUAACACUUAUCACUUUCUCUUACCCCCUCCUCUGACUCCGUUUUUAUCUAAGGGCAGCAGGCCAGGCACACGUGUAACAGCGCUCAGAAGAAGGCCAGUUCAGUGGAAACCAGCAUGCAAACACUCAGUAAAGGACACACAGACCCAAUGUCAGCAAAUAUUUGGUCACCGCUUCAAAGGGAAGCGACAGGCAAUUUGAAACUGAGGAACGGACGCAUUCUGAGUGCAUUGAGAGCUAAUUGGAUGCAGAAGGUUUAUGGUUUUAUAGUGAUUGUAUGAAUGCUUUAGUUUGUGAAUCUGCUGUAUAUUUUUAGAGGCAAACUGUGCUGCUGAGAGGUGGACUAAUGAAGGGCCUGAAGUGAAUGUGAUGUUUCGAAUGCCGUGUAAUUAGAUGGAUUGUUGAAGCAUUUAUAGUUUCCGCUCGGCUCUUUCUGUGCUCACUGUGUACUGAAUCCAGCCCUGUAGAUCAGCAACUGUGGUCAACGGCUUCAGUGGGUCACAAAUAGAUAAUGAAGGGUGUACACGCUGUUCCCACAAGGGGUAUAGUUAAGAGAAAACAGUGUACCAGGCAUGUUUAUUUGGGUGAUCAGUUUCGUGUUGGACAGUAAUUGAGGUUUUGUAUGCAGCCUAUUUUUUUUUUUAUAGAAUAGUUUAUUCAUUGUUCUGUCAUUAUUUACUCACUCUUUGUGUCUUUCCUGUGUGUUAUUAUUUUUCCAUUUAGUAUGACAGGGGACUUUUGUUAUGUAAAAAAUGUAUCCAAUACAGCAGUUUGUCAAACUCCAAAAAUGGCACUCUGACCUUACUGAUGAUAAAAUGUUAUCGGUCAUUUGUUUUAUUCAUGGAAACGAUUGCACUUUUCAUACACAAAUAUCCGCUUAAGUGGCGCAAAUACCCUUUGAGUGUGUGGGGGGGGAUUUUGAUACAACUCUUACUAUACAACAGGUGAAAAUAUUAAAUAAAUAAAUUGUUAUAGCAGUUUAAAUUUAUUUGAAUAAAUAAAAAUAAUUCCAAAACACAUUAAUUUUAAAAAUACAAUUAUAAAAUGUAAAUAUUUUACAAAAGUAAUAAUGCAAACAUGAAGCCAUAAGUCUCAAGUAGCUCUGAUCCAAAUUUCCAAGUUAAAAUCCCCAAAAGUUUUGGUUUGUGUCACACUUUUAGUGGUUUUACCAACAACGGCCACUAGGUAUCAACGGUUUGCUGCAUACUCUUGUCACAAAUUAAUAAAUUACCGUCACUGCAUUAUUAUUACUGCAGAGUGGUUUUGAAAUAUGAAAACAACAUUCUUAGAGCUUUCCAAUAAUAUAUAGUUUGUCAUGAUUGUUUAGGUUUAGAACAGGGUAUAUUAGUGCUAUACAUAUGUAAAAACAAAUUGUGUCCACGUGACAUUUUAGAAACUGAUUCUCGCUACAUCAUAAUUAUCCCAAAACAGUGAUGCAAUAUGAAAACUACACUCUUAGAGCUUUCAAACAAUAUAUAGUUUGUCAGGAUUGGAUAAGAAUUUACAUGCAAAACACUAAAGUAAAUGUAGGCGUCCCGCUGGCGGGACAAUGACAUUUCGUAGGAUAUAAAAGUUUUGAGGCACACUCUCAUCAUAAAUGAAUCAAUUACUCUCCCUACAUAAUUUAUUUUAUAAAACGCUGUUAAAAUAUGUAUUUUAGAGGCUUAGACCUUUCCAACAAUAUAUAGUUUGUUGUGAUAUACAUAAAAUUUACAUGGAAAAUAUUGAAGUAAACUUAGGUGUCCUGCUUAUGUAUUUUUUAAAGUGUUUUUCACACUGCAAUGUUUCAGAUCAUGAAACCAAUUUAAAUAUUAAUCAAAUAAAACGCAAGUAAACACAACAUGCCCUCAAAAUCUAAUAACUGGUUGUGCCACCCUUAGCCGCAACAACUGCAAUCAGGCGUUUCUGAUAACUUGCAAUGAGUCUGUUACAGCACUGUGGAGGAAUUUUGACCCACUCAUCUUUGCAGAAUUGUUGGGAGUAGGGAGGGUUUUUCGAGCAUGAAGCACCUUUUUAAGGAUUGACAGUCAGGACUUUGACUAGGCCACACCAAAGUCUUCAUUUUGUUUUUCUUCAGCCAUUCAGAGGUGGACUUGCUGGUGUGUUUUUGAUCAUUGUCCUGCUGCAGAACCCAGGUUCGCUUCAGCUCGAGCCGAGGUCAUAAACAGAUGGCCAGACAUUGUCCUUCAGGAUUUUUUGGUAGACUGCAGAAUUCAUGGUUUCAUUUAUCACAGCAAGUCUUCCAGGUACUGAAGCAACAAAACAGCCCCAGACCAUCACACUACCACCACCAUAUUUUACUGUUGGAAUGAUGUUCUUUUUCUGAAAUGCGGUGUUACUUUUACGCCAGACAUAAUGGGGGACACACCUUCCAAAAAGUUCAACUUUUGUCUCGUUAGUCCACAGAGUAUUUUCCCCAAAAGUCUUUGAAUCAUCAAGAUGUUUUCUGGCAAAACUGAGACCUUUAUGAGCCUUUAUGUUCUUUUCGCUCAGCAGCUGUUUUUGGCCCACUCUGCCAUGCAGGUCAUGAACACUUUCCUUACACUAGCACUUUUUCAUGGGGGUUUUGUCUUGUCUUUGAUGACUUUUUUUAUUUGUUUCAUGA
This is a long non-coding RNA of Paramisgurnus dabryanus, 4805 nucleotides long. RefSeq lists it as uncharacterized. The record is from RefSeq and is a predicted model, not a curated record. Lineage: Eukaryota; Metazoa; Chordata; Actinopteri; Cypriniformes; Cobitidae.